CGAAAUGCGAUAAGUAAUGUGAAUUGCAGAAUUCAGUGAAUCAUCGAAUCUUUGAACGCACAUUGCGCCCGCCAGUAUUCUGGCGGGCAUGCCUGUUCGAGCGUCAUUUCAACCAUCAAGCCCCCGGGCUUGUGUUGGGGACCUGCGGCUGCCGCAGGCCCCGAAAACCAGUGGCGGGCUCGCUGUCACACCGGGCGUAGUAGAUUUUUCGUCUCGCCCAGGGCGUGCUGCGGGUUCCGGCCGUUAAAAAGCCUCUCUUUUAACCCAAGGUUGACCUCGGAUCAGGUAGGAAGACCCGCUGAACUUAAGC
Molecule: unclassified non-coding RNA, 310 nt
Filed under: plant metagenome
Description: partial contains 5.8S ribosomal RNA, internal transcribed spacer 2, and large subunit ribosomal RNA
Rfam family: 5.8S ribosomal RNA (bases 1-106)
Source: RNAcentral